CCCUUAGACGUUCUGGGCCGCACGCGCGCUACACUGACCAGUGCAACAAGCAUCCGUCCUUGGCCGACAGGCCCGGGCAAUCUUUGAACGCUGGUCGUGAUGGGGAUAGACUUUUGCAAUUUUUGGUCUUCAACGAGGAAUUCCUAGUAAACGCAAGUCAUCAACUUGCAUUGAUUACGUCCCUGCCCUUUGUACACACCGCCCGUCGCACCUACCGAUUGAAUGGUCCGGUGAAGCCUCCGGAUUGGCGCGCACCUCGGUGCCGCCGAGAAGUUGGCUAAACCUUACCAUUUAGAGGAAGGUGANGUCGUNACA
This 315-nucleotide ribosomal RNA is filed under the name uncultured eukaryote. RNAcentral describes it as "partial 18S ribosomal RNA". It matches the Rfam family "Eukaryotic small subunit ribosomal RNA", at positions 1470 to 1796 of the family's 1831-position model. The record is from RNAcentral.